RNAcentral lists this ribosomal RNA (1338 nucleotides) under uncultured bacterium. RNAcentral's name for it is "bacterial SSU rRNA". It matches the Rfam family "Bacterial small subunit ribosomal RNA", at positions 28 to 1381 of the family's 1533-position model. The record is from RNAcentral.
GACGAACGCUGGCGGCGUGCUUAACACAUGCAAGUCGAACGGAAAGGCCCUUCGGGGUACUCGAGUGGCGAACGGGUGAGUAACACGUGGGUGAUCUGCCCUGCACUUUGGGAUAAGCCUGGGAAACUGGGUCUAAUACCGGAUAGGACCACGGUCUGCAUGGAUUGUGGUGGAAAGCUUUUGCGGUGUGGGAUGGGCCCGCGGCCUAUCAGCUUGUUGGUGAGGUUACGGCUCACCAAGGCGACGACGGGUAGCCGGCCUGAGAGGGUGUCCGGCCACACUGGGACUGAGAUACGGCCCAGACUCCUACGGGAGGCAGCAGUGGGGAAUAUUGCACAAUGGGCGCAAGCCUGAUGCAGCGACGCCGCGUGAGGGAUGACGGCCUUCGGGUUGUAAACCUCUUUCGCCAGGGACGAAGCGCAAGUGACGGUACCUGGAGAAGAAGCACCGGCCAACUACGUGCCAGCAGCCGCGGUAAUACGUAGGGUGCGAGCGUUGUCCGGAAUUACUGGGCGUAAAGAGCUCGUAGGUGGUUUGUCGCGUUGUUCGUGAAAACUCACAGCUUAACUGUGGGCGUGCGGGCGAUACGGGCAGACUGGAGUACUGCAGGGGAGACUGGAAUUCCUGGUGUAGCGGUGGAAUGCGCAGAUAUCAGGAGGAACACCGGUGGCGAAGGCGGGUCUCUGGGCAGUAACUGACGCUGAGGAGCGAAAGCGUGGGGAGCGAACAGGAUUAGAUACCCUGGUAGUCCACGCCGUAAACGGUGGGUACUAGGUGUGGGUUUCCUUCCUUGGGAUCCGUGCCGUAGCUAACGCAUUAAGUACCCCGCCUGGGGAGUACGGCCGCAAGGCUAAAACUCAAAGGAAUUGACGGGGGCCCGCACAAGCGGCGGAGCAUGUGGAUUAAUUCGAUGCAACGCGAAGAACCUUACCUGGGUUUGACAUGCACAGGACGCCGGCAGAGAUGUCGGUUCCCUUGUGGCCUGUGUGCAGGUGGUGCAUGGCUGUCGUCAGCUCGUGUCGUGAGAUGUUGGGUUAAGUCCCGCAACGAGCGCAACCCUUGUCUCAUGUUGCCAGCACGUUAUGGUGGGGACUCGUGAGAGACUGCCGGGGUCAACUCGGAGGAAGGUGGGGAUGACGUCAAGUCAUCAUGCCCCUUAUGUCCAGGGCUUCACACAUGCUACAAUGGCCGGUACAAAGGGCUGCGAUGCCGUGAGGUGGAGCGAAUCCUUUCAAAGCCGGUCUCAGUUCGGAUCGGGGUCUGCAACUCGACCCCGUGAAGUCGGAGUCGCUAGUAAUCGCAGAUCAGCAACGCUGCGGUGAAUACGUUCCCGGGCCU